CUUGCUCUUCGGAUCAGUGGCGAACGGGUGAGUAACACGUGAGCAAUCUGCCCCUGACUCUGGGAUAAGCGCUGGAAACGGCGUCUAAUACUGGAUAUGAGCUGCGAUCGCAUGGUCAGCAGUUGGAAAGAACUUCGGUCAGGGAUGAGCUCGCGGCCUAUCAGCUUGUUGGUGAGGUAAUGGCUCACCAAGGCGUCGACGGGUAGCCGGCCUGAGAGGGUGACCGGCCACACUGGGACUGAGACACGGCCCAGACUCCUACGGGAGGCAGCAGUGGGGAAUAUUGCACAAUGGGCGCAAGCCUGAUGCAGCAACGCCGCGUGAGGGACGACGGCCUUCGGGUUGUAAACCUCUUUUAGCAGGGAAGAAGCGAAAGUGACGGUACCUGCAGAAAAAGCACCGGCUAACUACGUGCCAGCAGCCGCGGUAAUACGUAGGGUGCAAGCGUUAUCCGGAAUUAUUGGGCGUAAAGAGCUCGUAGGCGGUUUGUCGCGUCUGCUGUGAAAACCCGAGGCUCAACCUCGGGCCUGCAGUGGGUACGGGCAGACUAGAGUGCGGUAGGGGAGAUUGGAAUUCCUGGUGUAGCGGUGGAAUGCGCAGAUAUCAGGAGGAACACCGAUGGCGAAGGCAGAUCUCUGGGCCGUAACUGACGCUGAGGAGCGAAAGGGUGGGGAGCAAACAGGCUUAGAUACCCUGGUAGUCCACCCCGUAAACGUUGGGAACUAGUUGUGGGGUCCAUUCCACGGAUUCCGUGACGCAGCUAACGCAUUAAGUUCCCCGCCUGGGGAGUACGGCCGC
This 798-nucleotide ribosomal RNA is filed under the name Microbacteriaceae bacterium. RNAcentral's name for it is "bacterial SSU rRNA". It matches the Rfam family "Bacterial small subunit ribosomal RNA", at positions 79 to 889 of the family's 1533-position model. Lineage: Bacteria; Bacillati; Actinomycetota; Actinomycetes; Micrococcales; Microbacteriaceae. The record is from RNAcentral.